Molecule: ribosomal RNA, 253 nt
Filed under: uncultured bacterium
Lineage: Bacteria
Description: partial 16S ribosomal RNA
Rfam family: Bacterial small subunit ribosomal RNA
Source: RNAcentral
GACAGAGGGGGCAAGCGUUGCUCGGAAUUACUGGGCGUAAAGCGCGCGUAGGCGGACCUGCAAGUCGGGGGUGAAAGCCCGAGGCUCAACCUCGGAACUGCCUUCGAUACUGCGGGUCUCGAGUCCGGGAGAGGUGAGUGGAAUUCCUAGUGUAGAGGUGAAAUUCGUAGAUAUUAGGAAGAACACCAGUGGCGAAGGCGGCUCACUGGCCCGGUACUGACGCUGAGGCGCGAAAGCGUGGGGAGCAAACAGG